This is a non-coding RNA of Ferroplasma sp. Type II, 74 nucleotides long. Lineage: Archaea; Methanobacteriati; Thermoplasmatota; Thermoplasmata; Thermoplasmatales; Ferroplasmaceae. The record is from Rfam.
GUGAGCGCAAUGCGGGAAAACCGCUCGUUGCGUUCGACGAGGGGGCUCUGUGUAACGACAGAGUUCUACUCUAU